RNAcentral lists this ribosomal RNA (203 nucleotides) under uncultured bacterium. Its description in RNAcentral is "partial 16S ribosomal RNA". It matches the Rfam family "Bacterial small subunit ribosomal RNA", at positions 328 to 539 of the family's 1533-position model. The record is from RNAcentral.
ACGCUCGACACCUACGGGGAGGCAGCAGGUGGGGAAUAUUGCACAAUGGGGGAAACCCUGGUGCAGCGACGCCGCGUGAAGGAAGAAGUAUCUCGGUAUGUAAACUUCUAUCAAGCAGGGAAGAAAGUGACGGUACCUGACUAAGAAGCCCCGGCUAACUACGUGCCAACAGCCGCGGUAAUCGUGAGGCGGGCUGGCAAGGC